CCUACGGGAGGCAGCAGUGGGGAAUAUUGCACAAUGGGGGAAACCCUGAUGCAGCGACGCCGCGUGAGGGAAGACGUAUUUCGGGAUGUAAACUUAUAUUCGCCGGGGACAAAAUGACGGUAACUGACUAAGAAGCCUCCGCUAAAUAAGUGCCCGCAGCCGCGGGAAUAAGUAGGGGGUAAGCGUUAUCCGGAUUUACCGGGUGUAAAGGGAGCGUUGGCGGUGUAGCAAGUUAGAAGUUAAAGACCGGGGCUCAACACGGGGACUGCUAUUGAAACUGUUGAUCUUGAGUGCAGGAGAGGUAAGUGGAAUUCCUAGUGUAGCGGUGAAAUGCGUAGAUAUUAGGAGGAACACCAGUGGCGAAGGCGGCUUGCUGGACUGUAAAUGACGCUGAGGCUCGAAAGCGUGGGGAGCAAACAGGAUUAGAUACCCGUGUAGUC
RNAcentral lists this ribosomal RNA (440 nucleotides) under uncultured bacterium. RNAcentral's name for it is "partial 16S ribosomal RNA". It matches the Rfam family "Bacterial small subunit ribosomal RNA", at positions 338 to 795 of the family's 1533-position model. The record is from RNAcentral.